GGGAUAUUGCACAAUGGGGGAAACCCUGAUGCAGCGACGCCGCGUGGGUGAUGAAGGUCUUCGGAUCGUAAAACCCUUUUCUAGGUGACGAGCAAGGACGGUAGCCUAGGAAGAAGUCUCGGCUAACUACGUGCCAGCAGCCGCGGUAAAACGUAGGAGGCAAGCGUUAUCCGGAGUUACUGGGCGUAAAGCGUAUGUAGGCGGUUGGGCAAGUGGCGUGUGAAAGCUCCCGGCUAAACUGGGAGAGGACAGGUCAGACUGCCCGGCUAGAGGAUGGUAGAGGAGCGCGGAAUUCGGGGUGUAGCGGUGAAAUGUGUAGAGAUCCCGAGGAACACCAGUGGCGCAAGCGGCGCUCUGGGCCAUCACUGACGCUGAGAUACGAAAGCGUGGGGAGCGAACGGGA
RNAcentral lists this unclassified non-coding RNA (403 nucleotides) under plant metagenome. Its description in RNAcentral is "partial contains 5.8S ribosomal RNA, internal transcribed spacer 2, and large subunit ribosomal RNA". It matches the Rfam family "Bacterial small subunit ribosomal RNA", at positions 358 to 777 of the family's 1533-position model. The record is from RNAcentral.